RNAcentral lists this long non-coding RNA (310 nucleotides) under Mytilus galloprovincialis (Mediterranean mussel). The record is from RNAcentral. Lineage: Eukaryota; Metazoa; Mollusca; Bivalvia; Mytilida; Mytilidae.
GUUUUUGGUUAUUAUCUUGAAUAUUAUUAUAGAUAGAGAUAAACUGUAAACAGCAAUAAUGUUCAGCAAAGUAAGAUUUACAAAUAAGUCAACGUGACCAAAAUGGUCAGUUGACCCCUUUAGGAGUUAUUGCCCUUUAUAGUCAAUUUUUAACCAUUUUUCGUAAAUGUUAGUAAUCUUUUACAAAAAUCUUCUCCUCUGAAACUACUCACCCAAAUUAAUCCAAACUUGGCCACAAUCAUCUUUGGGGUAUCUAGUUUAAAAAAUGUGUCUGUUGACCUGGCCAUCCAACCAAGAUGGCCGCCAUGGC